RNAcentral lists this ribosomal RNA (1051 nucleotides) under Ferrimonas sediminum. RNAcentral describes it as "bacterial SSU rRNA". It matches the Rfam family "Bacterial small subunit ribosomal RNA", at positions 486 to 1533 of the family's 1533-position model. Lineage: Bacteria; Pseudomonadati; Pseudomonadota; Gammaproteobacteria; Alteromonadales; Ferrimonadaceae. The record is from RNAcentral.
AGAAGCACCGGCUAACUCCGUGCCAGCAGCCGCGGUAAUACGGAGGGUGCGAGCGUUAAUCGGAAUUACUGGGCGUAAAGCGCAUGCAGGCGGUUGAUUAAGCGAGAUGUGAAAGCCCCGGGCUUAACCUGGGAACUGCAUUUCGAACUGGUCAACUAGAGUCUUGUAGAGGGGGGUAGAAUUUCAGGUGUAGCGGUGAAAUGCGUAGAGAUCUGAAGGAAUACCAGUGGCGAAGGCGGCCCCCUGGACAAAGACUGACGCUCAGAUGCGAAAGCGUGGGGAGCAAACAGGAUUAGAUACCCUGGUAGUCCACGCCGUAAACGAUGUCUAUUAGGAGUCUGUGACCUUGAGUCGUGGGUUCCAAAGCUAACGCAUUAAAUAGACCGCCUGGGGAGUACGGCCGCAAGGUUAAAACUCAAAUGAAUUGACGGGGGCCCGCACAAGCGGUGGAGCAUGUGGUUUAAUUCGAUGCAACGCGAAGAACCUUACCAUCUCUUGACAUCCACGGAAGCUUGGGGAGACCCGAGUGUGCCUUCGGGAACCGUGAGACAGGUGCUGCAUGGCUGUCGUCAGCUCGUGUUGUGAAAUGUUGGGUUAAGUCCCGCAACGAGCGCAACCCUUGUCCUUAGUUGCCAGCACGUAAUGGUGGGAACUCUAGGGAGACUGCCGGUGAUAAACCGGAGGAAGGUGGGGACGACGUCAAGUCAUCAUGGCCCUUACGAGAUGGGCUACACACGUGCUACAAUGGUCGGUACAAAGGGUUGCCAGCUAGCGAUAGUGAGCCAAUCCCAUAAAGCCGGUCGUAGUCCGGAUUGGAGUCUGCAACUCGACUCCAUGAAGUCGGAAUCGCUAGUAAUCGUAGAUCAGAAUGCUACGGUGAAUACGUUCCCGGGCCUUGUACACACCGCCCGUCACACCAUGGGAGUGGGCUGCAAAAGAAGUGGGUAGUUUAACCGUUCGCGGAGGACGCUCACCACUUUGUGGUUCAUGACUGGGGUGAAGUCGUAACAAGGUAGCCCUAGGGGAACCUGGGGCUGGAUCACCUCCUUAC